RNAcentral lists this long non-coding RNA (826 nucleotides) under Citrus sinensis (sweet orange). RNAcentral describes it as "long non-coding RNA (CSIN_LNC003131)". Lineage: Eukaryota; Viridiplantae; Streptophyta; Magnoliopsida; Sapindales; Rutaceae. The record is from RNAcentral.
GAAACUAGGUGUGCGCCUGACCGAUUUUGUUCUCUUGUUGGUAACUUAUCAGAAGACAACAAAAAUGCAAUAAGAGGUAUAGGAUUUGGAAGCCUACUUGAAAUCCAAUGUGGUCGACUGAGGAGGCAAUUAUGUCGUUGGUUGGUGGAUCAAUUCAAACCUGAAUGCAACAUUAUUGAACUUCAUGGUCAAAAUUUGAAACUGUGCCACAGAACAUUUUCAGAUGUCAUGGGUGUAAAAGAUGGAGGUAUACAAAUUAGUAUGUUCAUUAAUGGCAAGUCACAAAUUAGUAUUUUUUUAAAAUUAGUAUGAGAAGAGCUUUUGAGAAGUCAUAUGUAAAUUUUUUUAAUCUUUAUUACUUUUGUGACAGUUGAGGAAACACACUAGGAAAACCAACAGAGAACUUUCAGCAGAACAUAAGGCAAGUCACAAAAAGCAAUGUGAAAGGAUUGGCUGUGCAGAUGCAUAUUCGGAUAACAAUGAAUCAAAAAUUAUUAAGGCAAAUAAGUUAACCUUGGAAACUAGGUGUGCGCCUGACCGAUUUUGUUCUCUUGUUGGUAACUUAUCAGAAGACAACAAAAAUGCAAUAAGAGAUAUAGGAUUUGGAAGCCUACUUGAAAUCCAAUGUGGUCGACUAAGGAGGCAAUUAUGUCGUUGGUUGGUGGAUCAAUUCAAACCUGAAUGCAACAUUAUUGAACUUCAUGGUCAAAAUUUGAAACUGUGCCACAGAACAUUUUCAGAUGUCAUGGGUGUAAAAGAUGGAGGUAUACCAAUACAAUUGGGUGGACCAAGUGAAAAUAUUGCUGAAUUACGAGAUAUUUUUCAA